This 465-nucleotide ribosomal RNA is filed under the name Vreelandella stevensii. RNAcentral describes it as "partial 16S ribosomal RNA". It matches the Rfam family "Bacterial small subunit ribosomal RNA", at positions 338 to 795 of the family's 1533-position model. The record is from RNAcentral. Lineage: Bacteria; Pseudomonadati; Pseudomonadota; Gammaproteobacteria; Oceanospirillales; Halomonadaceae.
CCUACGGGGGGCUGCAGUGGGGAAUAUUGGACAAUGGGGGCAACCCUGAUCCAGCCAUGCCGCGUGUGUGAAGAAGGCCCUCGGGUUGUAAAGCACUUUCAGUGAGGAAGAACGCCUGGUGGUUAAUACCCAUCAGGAAAGACAUCACUCACAGAAGAAGCACCGGCUAACUCCGUGCCAGCAGCCGCGGUAAUACGGAGGGUGCGAGCGUUAAUCGGAAUUACUGGGCGUAAAGCGCGCGUAGGUGGCUUGAUAAGCCGGUUGUGAAAGCCCCUGGCUCAACCUGGGAACGGCAUCCGGAACUGUCAAGCUAGAGUGCAGGAGAGGAAGGUAGAAUUCCCGGUGUAGCGGUGAAAUGCGUAGAGAUCGGGAGGAAUACCAGUGGCGAAGGCGGCCUUCUGGACUGACACUGACACUGAGGUGCGAAAGCGUGGGUAGCAAACAGGAUUAGAUACCCUAGUAGUC